This 300-nucleotide ribosomal RNA is filed under the name uncultured bacterium. RNAcentral's name for it is "bacterial SSU rRNA". It matches the Rfam family "Bacterial small subunit ribosomal RNA", at positions 1060 to 1382 of the family's 1533-position model. The record is from RNAcentral.
UCGUGUCGUGAGAUGUUCGGUUAAGUCCGGCAACGAGCGCACCCACAUCCUUAGUUGCCAGCAGUUCGGCUGGGCACUCUAGGGAAACUGCCCGUGAUAAGCGGGAGGAAGGUGUGGAUGACGUCAAGUCCUCAUGGCCCUUACGGGUUGGGCUACACACGUGCUACAAUGGCAGUGACAAUGGGUUAAUCCCUAAAAGCUGUCUCAGUUCGGAUUGUCGUCUGCAACUCGACGGCAUGAAGUCGGAAUCGCUAGUAAUCGCGCAUCAGCAAUGGCGCGGUGAAUACGUUCCCGGACCUU